GAUGAACGCUGGCGGCGUGCCUAAUACAUGCAAGUCGAGCGAACGGACGAGAAGCUUGCUUUUCUGAUGUUAGCGGCGGACGGGUGAGUAACACGUGGAUAACCUACCUAUAAGACUGGGAUAACUUCGGGAAACCGGAGCUAAUACCGGAUAAUAUUUUGAACCGCAUGGUUCAAAAGUGAAAGACGGUCUUGCUGUCACUUAUAGAUGGAUCCGCGCUGCAUUAGCCAGUUGGUAAGGUAACGGCUUACCAAGGCAACGAUGCAUAGCCGACCUGAGAGGGUGAUCGGCCACACUGGAACUGAGACACGGUCCAGACUCCUACGGGAGGCAGCAGUAGGGAAUCUUCCGCAAAGGGCGAAAGCCUGACGGAGCAACGCCGCGUGAGUGAUGAAGGUCUUCGGAUCGUAAAACUCUGUUAUUAGGGAAGAACAUAUGUGUAAGUAACUGUGCACAUCUUGACGGUACCUAAUCAGAAAGCCACGGCUAACUACGUG
RNAcentral lists this ribosomal RNA (497 nucleotides) under uncultured bacterium. Its description in RNAcentral is "partial 16S ribosomal RNA". It matches the Rfam family "Bacterial small subunit ribosomal RNA", at positions 28 to 507 of the family's 1533-position model. The record is from RNAcentral.